CCGUGAGAUCGGGACCUGAGCCAAAGUCAGAUGCUUAACCGACUGAGUCACCCAGGCGCCCCUACAAUUUUCAUCUUUUUAGUAAAAGAUUCUAGGUUAAAAUAAAACAACCACUUUGCUAUGUAGACAAUGCAUUAAAGAAAGGCAAGGUGAAAGCAGAGAAGUAAAUCAUGAGAUGAUUUCAGAAAUCCAAGCAAGAGAUCACGAAAGGUAACAUUAGCAGGAAUGAGCUAAGUUGAUGUGUUUUUGAGUUACAAAUUGAAGAAUUUACUGAUAAACAGGAUAGGAAGGUGAAGAGAAGGGAGUGAUCAAGGAUGACGCCUGGUUUUGGUGCCUGAACUUCUGAGUGGUCAGUAGAAUCAUUUACUGAUACAAGGAAAACUGACGUAUAAUCCACUGAUGGGGAGGGGAUCGGGAGUGUUUGUACCCAGCCGUUCAAGUAGAGUCAAUAAAUUGACAACUGGGUAUAUGGGAUUAGAGCUUCUGGGAGAGGUCUUGUUUGGGAAUCAGCAGUCAGCUGAUUUUUAAAACCCUGGGACUAUAAAGGAACACGAAGAAAUAGAAAUAGGUCAGAAGCUAUCAAUUAGGAAGGAUAGUAUCAGAUUAGGUGUAUUUUUAAGACUGAAGGUGAUAGAUUAUCUUGUAGGUUGGGUCGCAGAACUGAUGCACUGGGGAUUCAGAAGAGCCCGAGACGCAAAGUGCAUGAAAAGAGGAGAGGAAAGGGCAACCAUAACACGGAGGGUGGAAGAGGGGGGAUUAACCGUCAGAAAGAUGUGGGAUAAAUCAUUUGUUGAGGCAGGAGGGAAAUGAACACAGAUGUAGUUAACUGCGCAGCAUUGGUCAAGGGAAGAUAAGGCAAUCCUGUCUGAUGGAACUUAGAAUAAAAUCUAAACUCCUUACCACAGCAUGAUCUAUUUCUGCAUAUCUCUUCAACUUCAUAUGUUGCCCCUUGUUCCUUAUUUAUUACUGCCCGGUCACAUUGGUCUUAUUUCAGUUCUCAAAAUGACGAAGAUCUGUCUUUCCUCAUAUGACUUACAACUUCCUCCCCACUUUCUUCAUGUGUAGGAUGAAAUGUCUCCUCCCCAUUACUCCCCCCUUGUUACUGUCUAACUCAGCCAUUGUUUAUUUCCUUCAAAACACUUACCUAACUAGCAAGUAUUUUUGUUGCUGUUGAUUUAAUAUUUGUCUGACUUCCCCACUAGAAUAUAAGCUCUGUAAGGGCAAAAAUGUUUUGUUUUGUUUUUUAAGUACUGUUAUAUCCAGCACUAGGCACAUGGUAGGCACUCAGUAAAUAUUUUUGAAUGAGUAAAUAAGUUUCACUGCUUGUGAAAAAAAAUUUACGUUUCUCCUAUCAAAAUGACAACCUUUCUCAAUAAGAGGUGCCCUCAUUAAUUUGAUAAUAAGCCAGUGUAGUUAGUUAGGCAAUAACCAUUAAUUAAGCAGUAGGCCAGUGGCCAAAGAAGGAUGGCAUAUGCUUGUGUUCUGAUAAUAACGAAUUUCGUAACUGUCUCUUGUGACAAAAUUCAACAACUAGCCUCCUCGGGGAUGUCUGUCUCCUCUUGUUCACUCCUUCUCAUCGUCCUCCCUGUACCAGGCGAUCUUCGAGAGCUCAUUCAAGACAGCUCAAGUUGCCUCCUACAGGAAGCCUUCCUGCAUCUCCCUACACCCCACAGCCCCCAAUUUCCCUUUGGCUCGGGCACACAGCGUAGGUACUCGGACAGGCUGCUAUUUCCCAGCCUCUCCCCAGACCAAAGCUCCAGGGGUGGUGGUGGUCCUCAUACUCUUAUUUUCUGUUUGCCACGGGGCCUGUGCUGCGCCUGGCACGGAGCCUGCGGUGAGUGCAGUGUUCGGGGAGGUGGCCUGAAUUUCUCCCUUUCCAGUGUUCUCCUCCAUUCCUCUUUUCCAGCUUUCAUCCAUUUCUUUUCCUCCUCCUCCCCCCUGCUCUUCUAGUGUCAUUUCAAAACAUUUCUCUUUUCCGUCUUCAGAGCAUAACAUGCCUUCUCUAGAAAAUUUGGCACAUUUGAAGAAUCACAUGUAAAAUAAAACGCUGCGAUUCCACAACCUGGAUGUUUUCUUUAAGCAAAGUUCUUUGCACUUCCUUCUCUCUGCACAUAUAUUUUCUUUGGAUAAUUCUCAUGUCUCUGUGUGUGCAAUUUUGUAUCUCAUUAUUUUUUUCUUUUCUUCAUAUUCUGUCAAGCAUGUUCACACAUCAAUAAAGUUGCUUUGUAAACACUGAAAAACAAUUCCAGAAUCUCAGUAUCUUAACAUCGUAGACUCUCCAGGGUCGCUGUCCUCCAAGUAGCGUCUUAGUGAUCCAGACUACUUCGAUCUUAUAACUCAGUUAUCCCAACAUGAGACACCACUUUCAAAGGGGAAGAGGAAAUCUAUGGCAUCACACAGCAGUUUUUCACUGCCUCAGCCGUCACUUCCACUCACAUUUCACUGGCUAGAACCUCUCACCUGGCCCCAUCAAAAUGCAGUGGGACUGGGAAGGAUAGUCUUCUUGGUGCCCAGGAAGGAAGGGAGGGCUGGAUGUUAAGGAGCAUGCAUCCCAAGGCUGCAUCCCAAGGUGCAUCCUUGGUGAUGCAUCCCAAGGAUGAGUUUCACUGCUUCCGAACUUGCUAGUGACAACAUUGAUAUUCCAUCUGUGUAAUGAGACUCCAUAAAAUACAUUCUUAGAGUAUAGUAGCCUCAGUGUAAUGUUUUGGGGGGAUGUUAAAUCAGUAGAUUUUCCUCCCUGAUAAUCUAUAGUUCUGGUGGGCCCAUCGUCACCCCACCGAUUGAACCAGUGGAAAUACUUGCAUCUUUGGAAGGAGCAAACCCGAUGAAAACAGGUUUGAAUUUCAAAAUAAGAGUUUUUGAAGUCCAUAUUGAGACAAUAGCCUGAAAGUAAGCACUUGCUAUUUUGGGAGGAGUCCAGCUUUGUUUGGGAGGAAAGAGGCUGAUAUAAACCAAGCCCAUAAGGCCACAAAAGAGAGUGUUUACAAUGAAUGAAUGAAAGAGUAAAUAGGACAAGGGUUUGGUGUAAGGAAAGUUCGUGCGCUGCAAGAAAGAGAAGCCCUUUGGGGGCUGAGAGGAAGAGUGAGAGGGUGAAGGGCAGAAGGUAAACGAGAUGUCAUUACUUCCUUCACACUCUAGAGUGUUGCAUAGGUAAGGGACAGGGGCCUCAAGGAUAGGAGAGAAGUAGAAACAAACAGACGAUGAAAUCAAGAGCAGCAAGGAUGUCACCUUACGUCUCCUGUGUAAGGAAUGGAAAGCAGAAAAUGGUGUGGGGCAGCAGCACUGUUUUUUUUGCAACAUGUAAUAGAGAAUAUUUGUCUCUUUAAUCUGUUUGCAUAUUUAACUUUCCAAAAAAUGCAACACGUAUGCAAAAAAAGAAAAUUACUCAUUUGUCACAUAUGGGUAUGUAAAUUUUGUCCACAUAGCAGCAAAAUUUUUAAAGAGAAAUAGGGAAACUAUUAAACGUUUUGUCUCGAGUUACUCCCUAGGUAAGCCCUCUCUCUCAUCCCAAAUACUGCUGUUCGUGUUUCCAUCAGUUGCCAGUUCUCUGAUACCGUUCACAGCUAUUUAAAUAACUACUGCCCCUUGCCACUAGUGUCUCUCCUAGACGAGAGUCGCUUUACUUGGGUAAGAUAACUUCUAAGAAUAAAGUAUCAGAAUUAUUUUGAAAAAAAAUGAAUAGAAGUAAGUAUUUUGGGAAAGCUGAAAAUUAUGAGUAUCUGAACACUGAGGGCAUGUUUCAAGACUCCUAUUUUCACUAAAAUCCAAUCUUUGUUUAAGCAUUUCAACUUGAGCAGGGAACACCAUCACCCCGUCACCCUGACUUUUCUGUGAAUUUGCUUUUACAGCUACACAAGAAUGUGUGUCUCGUCUGUUCCCUGCAGCAUUCAUUAGCUCUGUUCCAGAUUCAGGGAGCAGUCAAGGUCUUGAUUCUACUCUCACAGAGGAUGGUUUAUAAGAAGAGAACAGUUAAGGGAAGGCCUAAAAGGGCAGUGGUGCAACAGACCUAAAGAGUAGCCAGCCCAGACUGAAGCAGGAGGAUGAAGGCCUCCAGAAGGAAGGUCCCAAAGAGAAAAAAAAAGAAGGAAAGAUUGGUGGGAUUAGACACAAUACCUGAUAUGAUGGAGCUUUCAGAAAAAAGUAUAUCAGGAAGAAGAAAAGAAUGGCAGUGAUACUCUAAGAAAAAAGACUGAGCAAGUAAGGAAAUACAUCGUGGUGCAUAGCUUUGUAUGCUAUUAACAAAUUUCACACUCGUAAUAAACCCUAAUUUGUUUAAGAUUUUAUUCGUAAGAAAUCUCUACACCCAACAUGGGGCUCAAACUUAACCCCAAGAUCAAGACUUGCACGCUCUACCGACUGAGCCAGCCAGGUACCCCUAAACGCUAAUUUUUGAAGGUGAUGUCCACCAUUUUUCUUCCUGGAAAAGUCAUUUUCUCUUUGUAAUUAACAAGUAAUUUGUGGGACUAUACUUUGAGACUGUAUAAAUAUAUUGUUCCUCCUUAAA
This is a long non-coding RNA of Felis catus (domestic cat), 4504 nucleotides long. RefSeq lists it as uncharacterized. The record is from RefSeq and is a predicted model, not a curated record. NCBI's taxonomy places the organism in Eukaryota, Metazoa, Chordata, Mammalia, Carnivora, Felidae. The transcript is spliced from 2 exons.